GCCAAAGCAAGUUAGUUGUCGAAGAACAUCUGAAGUAAUCUCCGAAGCUGCAGCCGUGAGCCAGCACAAUGCAGGAAUGCAAUAUGAAGUGCACUUUUUAUGGCUGUAAGCGGACCUACUCUGACCUGGAGGCACUGAACAGACAUAUCCAGGAUCACAAGAUCCCUGCAGAGUCCCUACCUGGAAAGAUCUUCUUAUGUUCCACAAUAGGUUGUGAUGGUUCUUUUUCCAACAUGCAACAGUUAAUGGAGCAUAUGAGAGAGCAUCAUAAACCAAAUUGCUUCUUUCUGUGUGAAAGUUGCAAGGCCAAACUUCGGUCCUAUCGCACCCUUCUCAAACACCUGCAGACCUGUGCCAAGGUUGCCAAGAGCAAAGCGGCUAAGGCAGGUGCAUUGGCAGAACCAGGGAUGACCCCAGACACAGAUCCCAUUGCUGUUUCAUUCGCUCCUGUUACUGUGGAACAACCCAGUACCAACGCAGCCUCUGUAAAACCGGAGGAGAUGGAGUCUGACGUUACGCUGUCCACACCACAGCUUCAACCCAGCAGAGAAACCCAGGAAAACAGCACUUUAUUAGGCUCGUUCUCUUCUACCGGCCUUCCCCGAGAACCUGUCACUGUUUUAGAGCCAGCUGUGCAGUCUACUGCCAACCUAAGCCAUCUAAGUCGCGCCGAAGCCUCCUGUAGUCCCUUACCUCCCAACCUCUCCCCAGCACACACUCAACCUCCUCUGCCAGAUCCUGCACUACAACAGCAACAACAAAAGGCUCCCAAAGCCUCUUUUCCCAAUCUACCCUUACCACCACAACAUACUCCACCGGGAUCCAACGCAGUCUGGAGGAAGAACCAAGAGCCGCCCGGGCCCCUAUUGCACAGAUGGAACUCUCCUCCGAGCAGUCAGAGUUUAAAUAGAGAUGAAUUCCAGGUCAAUCCUUCAACUGCCGCAUCCUUUGGGAGCACACCAGGGGGCGAUACAGCUGCCUUCAGUGUGGCCACUCCACCCCAGACAGGAAAGAGAUGACUGCACAUAUUGAGGGGCAGCACAAGAGCCCUGGGGGCAGGCUUAACAAUGAUUCAGAUGUGGGGGUCACCUCUCCAUCGGUGAUUACUAAAACCUCAACAGACUCUGAACACUCCGUCUACACCCAGCUCUAAUUUAC
Chanos chanos (milkfish) is the source of this 1158-nucleotide RNA transcript. It is a transcript of the gene named zinc finger protein 414, with no coding region annotated. NCBI's taxonomy places the organism in Eukaryota, Metazoa, Chordata, Actinopteri, Gonorynchiformes, Chanidae. The record is from RefSeq and is a predicted model, not a curated record. The transcript is spliced from 7 exons.